This 64-nucleotide transfer RNA is filed under the name Negativibacillus massiliensis. It matches the Rfam family "tRNA", at positions 5 to 66 of the family's 71-position model. Rfam says of the family: Transfer RNA (tRNA) molecules are approximately 80 nucleotides in length. Their secondary structure includes four short double-helical elements and three loops (D, anti-codon, and T loops). Further hydrogen bonds mediate the characteristic L-shaped molecular structure. tRNAs have two regions of fundamental functional importance: the anti-codon, which is responsible for specific mRNA codon recognition, and the 3' end, to which the tRNAs corresponding amino acid is attached (by aminoacyl-tRNA synthetases). tRNAs cope with the degeneracy of the genetic code in two manners: having more than one tRNA (with a specific anti-codon) for a particular amino acid; and 'wobble' base-pairing, i.e. permitting non-standard base-pairing at the 3rd anti-codon position. The record is from RNAcentral. RNAcentral also lists the same sequence under 1 other name. Lineage: Bacteria; Bacillati; Bacillota.
GAGUGGCUCAGUCGGUAGAGCAGCUGAUUCGUAAUCAGCAGGUCGUGGGUUCGAUUCCCAUCUC